AUGAACGCUGGCGGCGUGCCUAAUACAUGCAAGUCGCGCGAACAGACGAGGAGCUUGCUCCUCUGACGUUAGCGGCGGACGGGUGAGUAACACGUGGAUAACCUACCUAUAAGACUGGGAUAACUUCGGGAAACCGGAGCUAAUACCGGAUAAUAUAUUGAACCGCAUGGUUCAAUAGUGAAAGACGGUUUUGCUGUCACUUAUAGAUGGAUCCGCGCCGCAUUAGCUAGUUGGUAAGGUAUCGGCUUACCAAGGCAACGAUGCGUAGCCGACCUGAGAGGGUGAUCGGCCACCCUGGAACUGAGACACGGUCCAGACUCCUACGGGAGGCAGCAGUAGGGAAUCUUCCGCAAUGGGCGAAAGCCUGACGGAGCAACGCCGCGUGAGUGAUGAAGGUCUUCGGAUCGUAAAACUCUGUUAUUAGGGAAGAACAAAUGUGUAAGUAACUAUGCACGUCUUGACGGUACCUAAUCAGAAAGCCACGGCUAACUACGUG
This 496-nucleotide ribosomal RNA is filed under the name uncultured bacterium. RNAcentral describes it as "partial 16S ribosomal RNA". It matches the Rfam family "Bacterial small subunit ribosomal RNA", at positions 29 to 507 of the family's 1533-position model. The record is from RNAcentral.